RNAcentral lists this long non-coding RNA (456 nucleotides) under Pan paniscus (pygmy chimpanzee). RNAcentral describes it as "lncRNA (ENSPPAG00000045277.1)". The record is from RNAcentral. Lineage: Eukaryota; Metazoa; Chordata; Mammalia; Primates; Hominidae.
GCUUUAGCAUAGAGCAGAGUCUGCUCCUUAAUGCAUCCCUGGAUCAUAGCGGACUCUGCCUAUAGAGGCCUGGGGUCCCUUUGGCAGCACUUUUGUCAAGAAAGUAGAGUCGUGGACAACCAACUGCACAGGUUGGGAGGAAAACUUACAGCCUCCAUCACUCUUCAGGAGAGUGGCAGUCAAGGAGUAAGACUCAAGCAAAGGAAUAAUCUGAGUUUAAAGAAAGGAGGAGUCAGUGCUGGGAUUUCUUGGUUCUAGUGGAAAGUAGUUUUUAAAAAUUUAAUUGACAAAAGUUAUAUAUAUUCAGGUACAUGAUGUGAUGAUUUGAUAUACAUGUACAUGUAUAAUGAUAGCCACAACCAUUAAUUAAUGUAACCAUCACCACCUAUAGUUACCCUUUUCUAUGCAUGUGUGUGUGUAUACGUGCAUGCAGUGAGGACACUUAAAAUCUACUCU